CCUCAAAUAAUGGUAUUAUCUCUAAGCCCAAUCUUCGAGAAAUUAUAUCCUAUACUAUGUGCAUUGCAUUGCAGUACACCUUGUCAAUCAUAACCACUCAUUCCUAUAAGAUGCAUUGAGAUGGGCACUUAAUGAAUGAGAUCUAGAGGAACAAGCAACUAUUGAUGUUCAUGCAUCAUCAUAUGGUGAACUCAGUGUAGAUAUAAUUUCUCUUAGUCUUGAGGCCAAGAAUGUCUCUAACAGUUGUCAUGCCGCAUGGCAUGUG
Molecule: long non-coding RNA, 265 nt
Filed under: Elaeis guineensis (African oil palm)
Lineage: Eukaryota; Viridiplantae; Streptophyta; Magnoliopsida; Arecales; Arecaceae
Description: long non-coding RNA (EGUI_LNC005345)
Source: RNAcentral